This 440-nucleotide ribosomal RNA is filed under the name uncultured bacterium. RNAcentral describes it as "partial 16S ribosomal RNA". It matches the Rfam family "Bacterial small subunit ribosomal RNA", at positions 338 to 795 of the family's 1533-position model. The record is from RNAcentral.
CCUACGGGUGGCAGCAGUAGGGAAUAUUGCUCAAUGGGGGAAACUCUGAAGCAGCAACGCCGCGUGGAGGAUGAAGGUUUUCGGAUUGUAAACUUCUUUUGUUAGAGAAGAAAAUGACGGUAUCUAACGAAUAAGCACCGGCUAAUGCCGUGCCAGCAGCCGCGGUAAUACGGAGUGUGAAAGCGUUACCCGGAAUCACUGGGCGUAAAGAGCGCGGAGGCGGGAUAGCAAGUCAGAUGUGAAAUCCUAUGGCUUAACCAUAGAAGUGCAUUUGAAACUGUUAUUCUAGAGUACGGGAGAGGUAGGUGGAAUUCUUGGUGUAGGGGUAAAAUGCGUAGAUAUCAAGAGGAAUACUCGUUGCGAAGGCGGCCUGCUAGAACAUAACUGACGCUGAUGCGCGAAAGCGUGGGGAGCAAACAGGAUUAGAUACCCUUGUAGUC